UGAACGCUGGCGGCAGGCCUAACACAUGCAAGUCGAGCGAGAAAGCCCUUCGGGGUGAGUAGAGCGGCGGACGGGUGAGUAACGCGUAGGAAUCUACCCGGUAGUGGGGGACAACUUGUGGAAACGCAAGCUAAUACCGCAUACGCCCUAUGGGGGAAAGCGGGGGACCUUCGGGCCUCGUGCUAUCGGAUGAGCCUGCGUAGGAUUAGCUAGUUGGUGGGGUAAAGGCCUACCAAGGCUACGAUCCUUAGCUGGUCUGAGAGGAUGAUCAGCCACACUGGAACUGAGACACGGUCCAGACUCCUACGGGAGGCAGCAGUGGGGAAUAUUGCGCAAUGGGGGCAACCCUGACGCAGCCAUGCCGCGUGUGUGAAGAAGGCCUUAGGGUUGUAAAGCACUUUCAAUUGGGAGGAAAGGUUGUACGUUAAUAACGUGCAGCUGUGACGUUACCUUUAGAAGAAGCACCGGCUAACUCCGUGCCAGCAGCCGCGGUAAU
Molecule: ribosomal RNA, 496 nt
Filed under: uncultured bacterium
Lineage: Bacteria
Description: bacterial SSU rRNA
Rfam family: Bacterial small subunit ribosomal RNA
Source: RNAcentral